Molecule: ribosomal RNA, 1244 nt
Filed under: human metagenome
Description: bacterial LSU rRNA
Rfam family: Bacterial large subunit ribosomal RNA
Source: RNAcentral
GGGAAAGGAGGUGGAUAUUCACAGACAACCAGGAGGUUGGCUUAGAAGCAGCCAUGCCUUGAAAGAGUGCGUAAUAGCUCACUGGUCGAGAGUGCCUGCGCCGAAGAUGUAACGGGGCUAAGACAUAAACCGAAGCUGUGGAAGAUACACUGUAUCUUGGUAGGAGAGCGUUCUGUAGGCCGUCGAAGGGAUGCCGUAAGGCCAUCCUGGAGGUAUCAGAAGUGAGAAUGCAGGAAUGAGUAGCGAGAAGGCGGGUGAGAAUCCCGCCGGCCGGAAGUCCAAGGUUUCCAGGGGAAGGCUUGUCCGCCCUGGGGAAGUCGGGACCUAAGCAUAAGCAAAAUUGUGAUGGCGAAUGGAAAACAGGUUAAUAUUCCUGUACCACUAUUAUCGCUUGAGAGACGGAGUGACGCAGGAAGGUAUGUGAGAAGGCUGACGGUUUAGCCUUUCUAAGGGCCCAGCGUGGGCGUGCAGGUAAAUCCGCACGCCUAAACGUGAGACCUGACGGGGAAGUGCAUUUGCAUAAGUCGCAGAUCCUACACUGCCAAGAAAAACUUCUAUCGAUGAGAAGCAGCGCCCGUACUGUAAACCGACACAGGUGGACAGAGUGAGAAACUUAAGGCCGACAGGAUAACUCUAGCUAAGGAACUCUGCAAAAUAGCCCCGUAACUUCGGGAGAAGGGGUGCCUGAUAUACCUGGAGGGAGAGACGCCCCGAGGGGAAACAGGCCGCAGUGAAGAGUCCCAAGCAACUGUUUACCAAAAACACAGGUCUAUGCUAAGCUGAAAGGCGACGUAUAUGGGCUGACACCUGCCCAGUGCCGGAAGGUUAAGAGGAGGAUUGAGAGAUUCGAAUUGAAGCCCCGGUGAACGGCGGCCGUAACUAUAACGGUCCUAAGGUAGCGAAAUUCCUUGUCGGGUAAGUUCCGACCUGCACGAAUGGUGAAAUGAUUUGGGAGCUGUCUUGGCUGGAGACCUGGUGAAGUUGUAAUGUCGGUGAAGAUACCGACUACCUGCAGUAGGACGGAAAGACCCCGUGGAGCUUUACUGUAGUUUGGCAUUGGGUUUUGGCUGUGUGUGUAUAGGAUAGUUGGGAGACUGUGAAGUUAAGGCGUCAGUUUUAACUGAGUCGUCGUUGGAAUACCAACCAUAUGCCGUUGAAAUUCUAAUCUGGUAACGGAGACAGUGCUAGAUGGGCAGUUUGACUGGGGCGGUCGCCUCCCAAAGAGUAACGGAGGCGUUCAAAGG